AUUCUUUGAUGAUGGCAUCUUUGUAAUAGUUAUUUAAAUCAUUCCCAUGCCUUAUACAAGGAUUCGUCAUCCAUCUAUUGGAAAGUAGUGAUCUCAUUCCGCAACUU
Gossypium arboreum is the source of this 107-nucleotide small nucleolar RNA. It matches the Rfam family "Plant small nucleolar RNA R71". From Rfam's summary of the family: R71 is a member of the C/D box family of snoRNAs containing the C (UGAUGA) and D (CUGA) box motifs. Multiple nearly identical copies of this snoRNA have been identified in Arabidopsis, and it is thought to function as a 2'-O-ribose methylation guide for 18S ribosomal RNA. Lineage: Eukaryota; Viridiplantae; Streptophyta; Magnoliopsida; Malvales; Malvaceae. The record is from Rfam.